AACGAACGCUGGCGGCAUGCCUAACACAUGCAAGUCGAACGAGACCUUCGGGUCUAGUGGCGCACGGGUGCGUAACGCGUGGGAACCUGCCCUUAGGUUCGAAAUACUCCCCGAAAGGGGUGCUAAUACCGGAUAAUGUCUUCGGACCAAAGAUUUAUCGCCUUUGGAUGGGCCCGCGUUGGAUUAGCUAGUUGGUAGGGUAAAAGCCUACCAAGGCGACGAUCCAUAGCUGGUCUGAGAGGAUGAUCAGCCACACUGGGACUGAGACACGGCCCAGACUCCUACGGGAAGCAGCAGUGGGGAAUAUUGGACAAUGGGCGAAAGCCUGAUCCAGCAAUGCCGCGUGGGUGAUGAAGGCCUUAGGGUUGUAAAGCUCUUUUACCCGGGAUGAUAAUGACAGUACCGGGAGAAUAAGCUCCGGCUAACUCCGUG
This 432-nucleotide ribosomal RNA is filed under the name uncultured bacterium. RNAcentral describes it as "partial 16S ribosomal RNA". It matches the Rfam family "Bacterial small subunit ribosomal RNA", at positions 29 to 507 of the family's 1533-position model. The record is from RNAcentral.